UUAAUGAGAGUUUGAUCCUGGCUCAGGACGAACGCUGGCGGCGUGCCUAAUACAUGCAAGUAGAACGCUGAGGACUGGUGCUUGCACCGGUCCAAGGAGUUGCGAACGGGUGAGUAACGCGUAGGUAACCUACCUCAUAGCGGGGGAUAACUAUUGGAAACGAUAGCUAAUACCGCAUAAAAGUGUUUAACCCAUGUUAAACAUUUAAAAGGUGCAAUUGCAUCACUAUGAGAUGGACCUGCGUUGUAUUAGCUAGUUGGUGAGGUAACGGCUCACCAAGGCGACGAUACAUAGCCGACCUGAGAGGGUGAUCGGCCACACUGGGACUGAGACACGGCCCAGACUCCUACGGGAGGCAGCAGUAGGGAAUCUUCGGCAAUGGACGGAAGUCUGACCGAGCAACGCCGCGUGAGUGAAGAAGGUUUUCGGAUCGUAAAGCUCUGUUGUUAGAGAAGAAUGAUGGUGGGAGUGGAAAA
Molecule: ribosomal RNA, 476 nt
Filed under: Streptococcus dysgalactiae subsp. equisimilis
Lineage: Bacteria; Bacillati; Bacillota; Bacilli; Lactobacillales; Streptococcaceae
Description: bacterial SSU rRNA
Rfam family: Bacterial small subunit ribosomal RNA
Source: RNAcentral